Nothoprocta perdicaria is the source of this 330-nucleotide long non-coding RNA. RefSeq lists it as uncharacterized. The record is from RefSeq and is a predicted model, not a curated record. NCBI's taxonomy places the organism in Eukaryota, Metazoa, Chordata, Aves, Tinamiformes, Tinamidae. The transcript has 2 exons.
UGCUGCAGAUCAUUCCCUGAUCCUUGAAAUGCUAAUCGCAGCAUUUGAAUCCGCUCUUUUCCUGACAACACACUUGAGAAGGUUUUCAAACUGACCAGCUGUCUAACUACUCCUCAUAAAUCACUUGCCUUGAUGUAGCGGCUGUUUCAUUUCACUGCAGGUUUUCUCAAGGCAACGAGGUCCUGUUUGACUGGGUGUCUGCCUUUCCAAUACACAAUGAGGGACUUGGUUUUAUUGCUGAAGACAGAAGCUGAUAGGCACAAUCCUAUCUCCAAGGCCAAGACUGACUGCAACCSCCAUCGUCAAAAGAGCUUUGUAAGACUCACCUUC